Molecule: ribosomal RNA, 465 nt
Filed under: uncultured bacterium
Lineage: Bacteria
Description: partial 16S ribosomal RNA
Rfam family: Bacterial small subunit ribosomal RNA
Source: RNAcentral
GACGAACGCUGGCGGCGUGCUUAACACAUGCAAGUCGAACGGAAAGGCCCCUUUGGGGGUCCUCGAGUGGCGAACGGGUGAGUGACACGUGAGUAACCUGCCCUUGACUUCGGGAUAACUUCAGGAAACUGGGGCUAAUACCGGAUAGGAAUCCUUGCUGCAUGGUGGGGGUUGGAAAGCUUCGGCGGUUUUGGAUGGACUCGCGGCUUAUCAGCUUGUUGGUGGGGUAGUGGCUUACCAAGGCUUUGACGGGUAGCCGGCCUGAGAGGGCGACCGGCCACAUUGGGACUGAGAUACGGCCCAGACUCCUACGGGAGGCAGCAGUGGGGAAUAUUGCACAAUGGGCGGAAGCCUGAUGCAGCAACGCCGCGUGCGGGAUGACGGCCUUCGGGUUGUAAACCGCUUUCAGCAGGGGCGAAGCUUGUGGUGACGGUACCUGCAGAAGAAGCACCGGCUAACUACGUG